AGCAGUAGCCGCGGUAAUACGUAGGGUGCAAGCGUUAAUCGGAAUUACUGGGCGUAAAGCGUGCGCAGGCGGUUAUAUAAGACAGAUGUGAAAUCCCCGGGCUCAACCUGGGAACUGCAUUUGUGACUGUAUAGCUAGAGUACGGCAGAGGGGGAUGGAAUUCCGCGUGUAGCAGUGAAAUGCGUAGAUAUGCGGAGGAACACCGAUGGCGAAGGCAAUCCCCUGGGCCUGUACUGACGCUCAUGCACGAAAGCGUGGGGAGCAAACAGGAUUAGAUACCCGCGUAGUCCCUGUCUCUUAUAA
RNAcentral lists this ribosomal RNA (303 nucleotides) under uncultured bacterium. RNAcentral's name for it is "partial 16S ribosomal RNA". It matches the Rfam family "Bacterial small subunit ribosomal RNA", at positions 507 to 809 of the family's 1533-position model. The record is from RNAcentral.